GACGAACGCUGGCGGCGCGCCUAACACAUGCAAGUCGAACGAGCGAGAGAGACCUUGCUUUCUUGUGCGAGUGGCGAACGGGUGAGUAACGCGUGAGGAACCUGCCUCAAAGAGGGGGACAACAGUUGGAAACGACUGCUAAUACCGCAUAAGCCCACGACCCGGCAUCGGGUCGAGGGAAAAGGGGCAAUCCGCUUUGGGAUGGCCGCGUGUCCGAUUAGCUAGUUGGUGGGGUAACGACCCACCAAGGCAACGAUCGGUAGCCGGGAUGAGAGAUUGAGCGGCGACUUUGGGGCGAGGACACAGCCCGGAAUCCUGCGGGAGGCAGGAGUGCGUAAUAUUGCACAGUGGGGGAAGCCCAGAUGGUGCGAGGCUGGGUAAGGGAAGAAGGUUGGCAGGUUGUAAAGUCAUGUUAUUGAGGGAGAUAAUGACGGUACUCAAAGAGGAAGCAACGGCUAACUACGUG
RNAcentral lists this ribosomal RNA (466 nucleotides) under uncultured bacterium. RNAcentral describes it as "partial 16S ribosomal RNA". It matches the Rfam family "Bacterial small subunit ribosomal RNA", at positions 28 to 507 of the family's 1533-position model. The record is from RNAcentral.